This 73-nucleotide transfer RNA is filed under the name Actinomycetota bacterium. RNAcentral's name for it is "tRNA-Ala". It matches the Rfam family "tRNA". From Rfam's summary of the family: Transfer RNA (tRNA) molecules are approximately 80 nucleotides in length. Lineage: Bacteria; Bacillati; Actinomycetota. The record is from RNAcentral.
GGGGCUAUAGCUCAGCUGGAAGAGCGCCUGGAUCGCACCCAGGAGGUCGCGAGUUCGAGUCUCGCUAGCUCCA